UUAAAAUGAAAAUUUUAUGAAAUCGUGGCAAAAUAUAGCGUUUUUAUUACUCAAUCGCACCGGCUCCGCCCUCUCAUUGUCAAGAAAACCCUUGUUCCCGGUUAACGCAAAUAAAACGACCCUUUUCCACUCAUCAGCAAAACCGACUCACGAAAGGGUGGGUCUCUUUCAUUCUCCAAACCACUCCCGACUCCCGACUCCCGACUCCCGACUUUUUCCUGUUCAUAUUUCCACUUUCCCUUUUGCUUUGAAGUCUCUUCCCUGAGUCGGCCAUGGUUACUUCCAGUGAUGUUCAAGAGAUCGUCUCCAAGCUCUCCUCUGAUAAAGCCAAAGCCCGUGAAGAAGGAAUAAAGUUGUUGAAUAUGUGGUUAGAGGGAGAAAGAUCAAUCGGAUUUUGUAAAUUUAUUGGACAGAAUACUGCAAAGCUUAAACCAAACGAGAUUCCUCAGUCUGAAACAUGGCCAUUUCUUAUUAAAUUGCUCACACAGUGUCUAUCAUUGGAGAUAUCAACAAGCAAGCGGAGAUUACCUAAGUUAAUUUUUGCAAAAACUCUUCGAAUUGUCAUUCAACGUGCGGAAGAUACUAAGUUUCCGGGAAAUAUGCUUCCAUUGUUGUCUGUGGUUAAAACACUUUUUAGUCACAUGCUGGAUGUGUUAAACAAUGUUCCAAGCUUUCAAUCUGAAUAUGGGAUUAUAUUACGAAAUCUUUUGGCGGUCAGAGACUACCGAUUUCAUAUGAGGAAGAGCAUUUACUCUGGUUUUAUGGUUUUCUACAUGGAAAAGGUGGAAACAACCUUGUCUGAGAAAAAUAACUCUCAAUAUAGUCAGAAAGAGGAGAUCUUCCGCAGCAUCCUAACCCUUCAGUCUCUAUUAGAAAAUCCUCCUGGAGAUUUCCCGGAUAACCUUAGGGAAGACAUUGUGAAGGGGUUUGUUAAGAUAUUUUCUUAUAUAAGGGAUGAGGGAAAAGUUUCACGCAAGCUAAUUGAGUGUAUUAAUACAUACUUGUUGAAGGAUGGUCCAAAUUUGAGUUGUCAGUCCUUAGAGAUCCAUAAUGCGACACAGCAAUUUGUUUUUCGUUUUUGGCUGACGACACAUGAUAAGGGUCUUAAGGAUGCACUUGUUCUUUAUGCAAGGUUACAGCUAAAUUUAGUUAGAGGUGUAGUUGAUGGGAGUUUCUUGGUUGAACAACUCUUGGACGUCAUAUGUAAGGAACUAGAUCAGAGCAAUUUAUCUAUUCCUGUUACUUCUUGGAGUGAUGGAGCCAAGGAUGAUAAGUUUGGAACCUUGAGUAGUUCGCAACACAAUUUGGUGGAGCUUGCAGCACUCAUAUUGUAUCGGGCAUGUGUCAAUACAAGCAGAGCAACAUUGAAUGAAAAACGCGUUAAAAGAGAGAGUGCUGCUGCCUGUCUAAAGGAUGCACUUAUGAAAGGAAAAUGGUUAUGGCAUGUGUCAUUUUGUUAUCUCAUUCGUAAUUACUACACUCGCAUAAGUAAGGAUCUUUUUGUCUACUGGUUUGAAGGCAUUUGUGCAAGCUUUGAAAGAAUCUUGAAUGAUGCUAAUGUGGGGCAUGCUUAUGAUGGUUUGCUGUGGACUUUGCGGAGUCUGCAGGAACUCUCUUCCAUGUUGCUGCUUUCAGAUGCUCAAGUGGAGAUUUCGUUGAGCUCCUCUUUUACCUCAAAAGAGUUUGAUUGUGGUUGGCAAUUAAUAUGGAGCCAUCUUAUGCAUGGAUUGCCAACAUUUAGCAACGUAAUUCCAGUAGUGGAUGCUGCUCUGGCUCUCCUUGGAAGCAUUAUUGCAAAUGAUUUAACAAACUCAUGCGUUGUGCCUCAUGAUGUAUGGGAUCUUAGGUUAUUUAAAGGAAUGCCUUCACUGUGUUCUCUGUACUUCAUCGCAUGUUAUUUUUCUCAGAAGGGUUCUCAGGGUGACCUUCGGGACAUUUUACAUCUACGGAAGUAUCUUCUAAGAGCAACUUUGGGCUCUCUCAGCUGGAAUGAAUCGUCCUUACUGAAUAACCGUAUGGUAUUAUUGUUACCAGCAGCUGUUUAUGCUCUUUGUGCUGGUUGUGAGCCUUUUACCCAGUGUUACAAAGAAAUUCUCCGGUUACACUCUUUUGUGGAUGCUAUUGAGGUUGCAGAUGAUUGGAUCAAGAUUGAUGAAUAUGAUCACGAAAGGCAGCUUGAAAAUUUUGAAUGCUCUGUUGAAGUUGUUGCAAAUAUUGAUUUGGAUUCAAAUGUUCAGGUUUCCCCAUCUCACUUCCAUCAAAGUGUAAGUCUUCCUCGACAGUUGAGAGAGCCACUUAUGCAUGAAAUGGAGACCUAUAUUUUGGGAGUUUUAGCAGAUCACAAUGUUGAAAAGAAGCGUCUGUCUGAUGUCUUCUUCAUAUGUGCUUUACUGUGCAAUUUAAUAUAUGGAUUAUAUUUAACAAGGAAUAGAGAAGAAGUUUCACCAUUUCUCUCAAAAUUGGGCCACUAUUUGUUGGAAUUGCUGAAUGAUGCUAUUAAUGUAAUUCUUAAAAACAUAAAUGACUCCAGAUCUCUUGGAUCCUUGGGUUUUACCUCUGGCUUUAACCCAAAAACUGCUAUUGUUGCUUCAUUUAAAAGCUUUGUUCUUGGCCCCCUUUUCACACAAAGGAGAGAUGGAGAUGCUCCGGACACUGUACUUUAUGAUGCUAUAAAACAAUCCCUGCAGAGGCUUCUGAAGGCAUUUGCUAAACUGUAUGAUGAAUAUAUUGAAAGUGUAACUAACCAUCGGUCUGAGAUGUUCUCAUCAGAUUCUUCUGGAUCUGGUUCUUCUAUACAAAUUUCAAACCAUGUGGAUAGCAAUAAAAGUAGGAUCAUGGACAUGGAAUUGGAUGUGAAUGAGGAUGGUAAAGAUGUAGAUAUUCAGACAUCUAGUGGGAACAUUUCAACUUGUGGAUCUUUCUCUGCAAUGAAGUGGAAGUUGGGUAUGGUAUCACUAAUCUCAAGUUUUUUCUCUGUCGUCCACAAUCAAACAUGGGAUGUCCUACUGAAUCUCAUGGAAAAAGAACUUGACUUGAAGGUGUAUGAGAUAAUUUUGUGCAAUCUUUGUCGCCAUCUCGACUCAUUAUCUUCUUCAAAACUGACAGAUCUGGUCAAUUUAAUAAAAAACAGGACAAGAAUGCAAGUUAGUCUGAAGCUUGAUAGUUUUAAUGUUCUAGCUGCUAUUGGUUGUUUGCUUGAUACCCUACUAUCUUUAGAAGUUGGAAAGGAUAAACAUGGUGCCAUAGCUUUGGAAGAAAGAGAAGCUAAACAGUCCUUGACAUAUCUCGGGGAGCUGGCCAGCAAAGUCGCAGAAUUUGAACUUCUUGAUUGGUUUGGUCGCAUCAAACUAAUUGACUGCAUAUGCAAUUUUAUUUUACUCAGUCCCGUGAUCGGCCAGCCGCUAUAUGGGGCAUUUUUGCUGUUUCAUAACUAUUUACAGACAAUGAUUGAAAAGCUGCUUUGCAUGCUCCAAGAUCCUGAUUAUCGAGUUAGGUUCUUUCUAAGUAGACGAAUUGGUGUUCUAUUCCAGACCUGGGAUGGACAUGGAGAGCUCUUUCAUGAUAUUUGUUCCAACUUUGGCAUGGAGUUGGUGUAUUACUCCAAAGAAAAACUUGUUACAGCUAGGGAAGUCCUUGCCGCUGGUCCACAGCCUCGCUCAAAAGUUGAAACUGUCAUUAUUACCCUUAUGCAGCUUGCUUUGCAUAGUGAGAAAAUUGAAUUAGAGGCUGUUUUCAUGAUGUGUGCAGUUUCUGCCAUUGAUUCUUGUCAGAGGGAAUUAGUAACUGCAGCAUUUGAUAAUCUAUCGAGAAAGCUACAGUAUAUUUCAAGAAUGAAGUACUUGGAAGAACUUAUUGGAUCUAUUCUAUUCUGCUGGGUUGCUUGUGGUGUCAGCAUAGCUGCUCUUGUUGAGAUACGACAACUUUUUGUAUCAGAUACUGAACCUAGUUAUUUCUUGCAAUAUUGUUUCCGUUGGCUUCUUCCAGCUCUACUUAUCCAUGAGAACAACUCUAACCUCAAUUGGGUUGCUAAGAUUGCAGGGCAACCUUUGUCUGUUAUUGUUAUGGAUCAUUUUGUGCCAAUUUUUUCAGUUUGUAUGACACUGUAUUGCAGUAAGAGCUCUGGUUUUGAGAAGGGAACAAUGGUGCUUCAGAAUUCUAUUUUGCAUUUGGCUGAGAUUUCUGAGAAUGAAAGAGAUAAACUUAUCAAGAAAAAUAUGGUGUCUAUCGUCGGCCAUAUUCUUUCUCUUGCAUCCUGUGCAUCAGAUCCUUUAAUUCCUUUUUUCUCCAGGGAUACUGUUGCAUGCGCAAUUCAAACAGUAGUUGAUGGAUUCUUGGAAAUGGAUGAUUGCUGUGCAAGUAGUAGUGUUAUUGACAAGAUUAACAUUUUUCGCCCGAACAGAGCUUUCAUGUUUAUCAUAGAAAUGCAUUACAAAAUUGCGGCGGCAAUUCAUCACAGGCAUAGAUGUCAUCGGUUAGCUUCAGUAGAGGUGCUUAUAAUUAUUCUUGGACAUAGAGCUGCCCUUUCAAGUACUUCUAAUUAUCUUUUCAAUUUGAUCGGGCAAUUUAUUGGUUGUCAUGCUUUACAAGAUCAAUGCUGUCGUAUAAUUUCUGCCUUACUCAAAACUUUUAAAAGCAACCCAUCUAAGGAAAUUGUUGGUGUGCUUGGUGAACAACUCCAGUUUUUGGUAUCAAAGUUAGUAGCGUGUUGCAUUCCUCUUGAAGCUGAUGGGCAACCUUCUGCAUCUGUAUCAUCUCAAGUUUUAUCUUUGCUCCUUGAGCUAACUGUGGAUUCGGAUCCAUUGCUUUAUGAUUAUAUAAGAGAAUUGGAACCCUUUCCUGAAAUAGAUAUUUUUGAAGGAAUAAGAAACUUCCACCAGGAUUUGUGCCGAGCGUACUCUCCAAGAGACCAUUUAUUGAAGUUUGUGAAGAGAUCUUGCUACCUUCCGCCGAGGUUACUUUCAUGGAGUCUACAAGCACUGCACAAGAAGCUACUUGCAGGGGAAACAUUUCAGGCGGGAAAGAGUGCUAAAGAACUUGUGGAUGAUACAUAUUGGUAUGGUGACAGUGAAAUUGUCCAUGCAGUUUGGACACUUGUUCGCAUGUGUUCCUCUGAUGACACAAGCAUGAUUAGAGGAUUGGUGUCUGAUUUCAUAUCCAGGGUUGGCAUUGGAGAUCCACACUCUGUUGUUUUUCAUCUACCUGGAGACUCUAACAAUAUGCAUGUUUGUGGACCCAUUAGUCAUAGUGGUUCUUCUGAAAUAAUUUUUUCUAUGGAUACUGGCAUAUCUGAAGAACUUCUAAUUGCACUUUUGAAAGUUUUGAAGAAAUACUUAAUGGAUGAUUCUGUUAAAAUAGUUGAUAUAACAUCACAAACUCUUCAGGGAAUACUGUCAACUGAAAGGGGUCAAAAAGCUAUGUUAUCAUUUGAUUCUUAUGAAAGAUCUCUGAUUGAAGUUCAUUCUAGGGGCAUUAACUUUGAGUUGGUGGAAAAGUUGUUGAUGGAUCUAGAAAGGAAGUUUAAAGUUAUUACAGCUGAAGACAUUUUUCUGGAGAAGUCUACCACUUGGGUGACGCAUGGUAAAACAUUUGAAAUGUGGAUAUGUCCACUUGUUUACUCAUUGGUUGGCUACUGCAAUGAUGUGAUCCUAAGAUUAUGUCAGGAUAUUGUACUGCUGAAACCUGAGGUUGCUGAGCUUCUGUUGCCCAGUAUUGUUGUCAAUUUAGCUGGAAGAAAGGAUAUUGAUGUGGAUAUUCAGAAGUUGAUUUCUUGUCAGGUUCAGGAGCAUAUAUUUGUGGAGUCUAAUAAGUUGAUAAAGUCUAUUCAAGUUUGGCUUAAUGCCCUUAAUGAACUUCGAUUUUGUUAUGUUCUGGAAAGAUCUUCAGGGCCAUUAAAAAAGGAAAAAAAGGAAAGUUCUAAGCAUGCUAAGCCCUCUAGUUAUAGCUCAAGAUCCCUUUUCUCCAUGAAAACUAGGGAUUCAGCAGCUACAUUGAGUGCAAUGGCCAUGUCAACGUCUUCAUGGAACAAGGUGUAUUGGCUUUCUAUUGAUUAUCUCGUUGCUGCUAGGUCAGCGAUUAUUUGUGGCUCGUACUUUACAUCCAUGAUGUAUGUGGAGUAUUGGUGUGAAGAACAUUUUCAUAGCCUCACCCUUGGGAACCCUGAUUUUUCCAAUCUUGAGAUGUUACCACAGCACAUUGAAAUUCUUAUCUUGGCAAUCACUCAAAUCAAUGAACCGGACAGCUUAUAUGGGAUUAUCCAGUCACACACACUGACCUCCCAAAUAAUUACCUUCGAGCAUGAAGGAAACUGGAACAAGGCCCUUGAAUAUUAUGACUUACAAGUGCGCUUGGAAGCCACAGCUCAUGUGGAUGGCAGUUCUAGAACUUUGUCAUUGGCAGAGAUCCAAUCGUUAUCUCAUUCUUCCCUUUCCACAUUGGAAGAUGAGACAAACAGGAAACCUUACAAAGGGCUGAUUAGAUCUUUGCAGCAAAUUGGUUGUAGGCAUGUGCUGGAUCUGUAUUGCCAGGGAUUAACUUCUGGGAGGGGUCAGUUUCAGCAGGAUUUAGAGUUCACAGAAUUGCAGUAUGAGGCCGCUUGGCGUGCAGGAAACUGGGAUUUCUCUUUACUUUAUACAGGAGCGAGUUCUCAUUCUACAGGUCAACAUCCUAAAACUCAUCAUUUCAACGAAAAUUUGCAUAGUUGUCUGAGAGCAUUGCAGGAGGGAGAUUCUGAUGAAUUUCAGAGAAAGUUGAAGCAUUCAAAAGAGGAGCUUGUUUGGUCUGUUUCUCAUGCAAGUGAGGAAAGCACGGAGUUUAUCUACUCAACAAUAAUAAAGUUUCAGAUCCUGUAUCAUCUUGGUAUAGCAUGGGAAAUACGCUGGCCAACAUCUUCAUAUGAAAGAAUAAAACUCCAGAAACAUAAGAAGAAAAUGUUUUCAGAUCCUAUAAUCCCUACAAUGGAUCAGUUGUUGUGGCUGAAUAAGGACUGGAGCUCCAUGUUGACAAAAUCACAGUUACAUAUGAGUUUAUUAGAGCCAUUUAUUGCAUUUAGGCGAGUUCUACUUCAAAUCUUGAAUUGUGACAACUGUACAAUGCAACAUCUUUUGCAGUCUGCUUCCACUCUUCGUAAGGGCUCUCGAUUUUCUCAAGCUGCUGCAGCUUUGCAUGAAUUUAAGUUUCUUUGUGUGGGAACUGGAGAACAGGGUUCAACUCCAUAUUGGCUUGGAAGGCUUGAGGAAGCAAAGCUGUUGCGUGCUCAAGGUCAGCAUGAAAUGGCUAUCGGCCUUGGAAAAUAUAUCUUGCAAACUUAUCAGUUGAAUGAAGAAGCAUCAGAUGUAUAUCGAUUGGUCGGGAAGUGGCUGGCAGAAACUAGAUCUAGCAGCUCAAGAACUAUUUUCGAGAAGUAUCUAAAACCUGCAGUGUCACUUGCUGAGGGUCACAAGACUGCUGACAAGAAGACUGCAGAAAGACAAAGUCAGACUCAUUUCCACCUUGCACAUUAUGCAGAUGCACUGUUUAGAAGUUACGAGGACAGACUUAAUUCCAAUGAAUGGCAAGCAGCAAUGCAUUUAAGAAAACAUAAGAAAUUAGAACUAGAAGCCCUUUUUCGGCGGCUAAAAGGUUCAACAGAGGGGGACAAAAUUGACUACUCGGUGAAAAUACAAGAGUUGAAAAAGCAGCUUGCAAUGGAUGAGGAAGAAGCACAAAAAUUGCAGGAUGACAGGGACAAUUUUCUCAGCCUAGCUUUGGAGGGAUAUAAAUGUUGCUUGGUCAUAGGUGACAAAUAUGACGUAAGAGUGGUGUUUCGACUUGUAUCAUUGUGGUUCAGUCUUUCAUCUAGCCAAGAUGUCGUCAAUAACUUGCUUAAAACAAUUGAUGAGGUUCAGACUUAUAAAUUUGUUCCACUGGUUUACCAAAUUGCUUCAAGGAUGGGAAGCCUAAAUGGAAUUGUGCCUAAUAAUUUUCAGUUUGCCUUGGUGUCUCUUGUGAAGAAAAUGGCCAUUGAUCAUCCGUACCAUACAAUCUUCCAGCUUCUAGCUCUUGCAAAUGGUGAUCGUAUCAAGGACAAACAGCGUAGCAGGAACUCUUUUGUUGUGGAUGUGGAUAAAAAGCUUGCAGCAGAAAACCUCUUAGGGGAAUUAUCAGCAUAUCAUGGGCCUGUUAUCAGACAGAUGAAACAAAUGGUGGAGAUCUAUAUCAAGCUUGCAGAACUUGAGACCAAGAGAGAGGACACCAGUAGAAAGUUACCACUGCCGAGAGAAAUUCGCAGUGUACGACAGCUGGAACUUGUACCUGUAUUGACAGCCAGCUUUCCAGUUGACCAUAGCUGUCAAUACCGUGAAGGCUCUUUUCCAUUCUUCAGAGGAUUGGCAGACUCGGUUAUGGUAAUGAAUGGUGUAAAUGUUCCAAAAGUGGUUGAAUGCCUGGGUUCUGAUGGUCGCAAAUACAAGCAGCUAGCAAAAUCUGGGAAUGAUGACCUAAGACAAGAUGCUGUUAUGGAACAAUUUUUUGGACUAGUCAAUACUUUCCUACAGAAUCAUCGUGAUACAUGGAAAAGGAGAUUAGUCAUACGUACAUACAAGGAGAUUUUGGAGACUCAAGAUGACUAGUUGACUUGGAAGAAGAAGAAUAAUUUUUUGAAAUGGGAAUUUGAAUUGGCGGACGAGUAGAGGAAGGAUCAGAUGAUGGCUCAAUCUCCCAAAGUUGAUAUUCCCUAGAACUCUCCCCCUGAAUAUUGGCUUUAGGAUAGAAUGGUUGAUUCUCAAAGAAGGUGACAUCCAUAGAGUGUAAAACUUUUUGGUAGUUGGUGAAUAACAUCAGUAGCCUUUUCGGUUAGGUGAGUAGCCAAGAAAUAUACACUUGAGUGAUCUAGGGUCUACUUGACUGCGUUGUUGUUGGUGUAUAUGAACAAAGGUAGUACAUCCAAACACCUUGAUUGGUAUGGAGGAAAUGAUUUGGACAUGAUGGUAGGUUUUGAGAAGUGUUUGAUAGGAGGUUUGGAAUUGUAGUACUCGAGAAGGCAUCCUAUUGAUAAGAAAGGCUAUUGUUAGGAUUGCCUUUCCCCAUAAAUGUUUCGGGACAUUAAAGGCUAGUAUAAUAGAUCUUGCAACUUCGAUCAAGUGUUUGUUCUUCCGCUUGUUAACUCCAUUUUGUUGAGUUUUAGUACAUGAGCUCUAAUGAAUAAUUCUUUGAUUUAAAUCCAAGAAUUGAGCGAUAGUAUUCUUGCCCGUUAUCUGUUUUGAGCAACUAAAUUUUUGCUUGAAAUUGAGUGCACCAUCUUAUGGAAAUUUUGAAAUAUUGAACUAACCUCUGACUUGUCUUUCAUGAGGAAUAGUCAUGUAACUCUAGUGUUAUCAUCAAUUAAGGUAACAAACCAUCUACAAACUGUAAUAUUGUUAGCCCUCGAUGGUCCCCAAACAUCACUAUGGAUCAUAGAAAAAUGAUGAGUUGAUUUGUAUGGUUGACUUGGAUAUGAAUUGCGAGUGUGUUUGGAAAAUUGACAAAUUUCACAUUGAUAAGACUUGGAACCUUUAUUGAAUAAAUCAGGGAACAAUUUUUUGAGGUACAAGAAAUUUGGAUGUCCUAAACGAUAGUGCCAUAACAUGAUUGUAUUUUCUUUACUUUUACUAGAAUAGCACACAUCCUAGUAUUGCCAAUCUUCUUCUCUGAAUCCAAACCUUGAAAUUCACAUAUGUUGGAAAGAAUUUUAGUAGGACAAUUAAGAUAUCUCGUAAUUUUACUAAUAGAUAGAAGGUUGCAAUCUAAAUUAAGGACAUGUAGAACAUAGUUAAAUGUUAUGUCCUUUGAAAUAAUGACUAAACCUACCCCGGUUACCCGAGAGAGUUACCGAUCUGCUAUUUGAGCUGAGGUUUUCAGAACAUAGGCUGUAUUCAUGGAACACUGAUGCAUCACCAAUCAUGUGGUCUGAUGCACUUGAAUCAACAAUCCAAGAUCUUGUUUUUCCACUUUGCACAAGUAGAACAUUGAGAGAGUUACCUUUUUGUGCAACAAACGCUGUGCUUACAAUUGACCCAGUGUUCUGAAGAGAUUGCUAAACAAUUUUUUGAAGGACUUCUAACUGCUCUUUACUGAAUGGGCUUGAUUUUGGGGGUGUUGGAGUUGUCUCGGUGGUGGCAAAAUUUCAUGACUCUCGAUUUCGAGUAGAACGUGGUUUGUAGUUAGCAAGUUUCCCAUGGAUUUGCCAACAAUUUUCCUCUGUGUCCUACCUUUUGACAGUGGUCACACCAAGGUCUGUUACCUUUCUUCUGUGGAUUUUCACGAAGGACCUAUUUUCUGCUGAUUUUCACCACCUUGGUAGGAUUUUGGUCCUUGUGUAGCAAGGGUUGAAUUUUCUCUCUUGUGGAUUGCAUGAUGUCCCUAGCAUCACCUUCCUUCUACUCUCUUCACAGCGGACCUAAGAGAAAACUUCUCGAAUGCUGGGUAAUGGCUUGAUGCUAAGAAAUCUUCCACGAACAUCAUCAAGGCUCUUGUUUAGACCAAGUAGAAACUUAUAAACUUGGUCCUUCUCUACUAUUUUCCUGUAUUGCUAGCUAUUGUCAGGGCACUUCAAUGUUAUUUCUUCAAAGAUAUCUAAUUGCUAUUAAUAAUGAGUUAAGGAAUUAAAAUAUUUUGUGAUAAAGGAGUCUCGUUGCCCGCAGAUCAUGUAGAGUGCUUUUGAUCUUGAAUAUUGCAGACGCAUUGUCUACGUUGGAGUAGGUUUCUUUCGUAGCAUCCCAAAUCUCUUUGGCAGUUUUGUAGUACAUGAAAUUCUCACCAAUCUCGUUGGUCAUAGAAUUGAUCAACCACCACAUUAUCAUGCUAUUUUCCAACUUCCAGGUUGUUCCUUUCACUCCAAGUGCUGGUGUU
Durio zibethinus is the source of this 10863-nucleotide non-coding RNA. The record is from RefSeq and is a predicted model, not a curated record. Lineage: Eukaryota; Viridiplantae; Streptophyta; Magnoliopsida; Malvales; Malvaceae.